CCUACGGGAGGCUGCAGUGAGGAAUAUUGGUCAAUGGGCGAGAGCCUGAACCAGCCAAGUAGCGUGCAGGAUGACGGCCCUAUGGGUUGUAAACUGCUUUUGUAUGGGGAUAAAGUCAAUCACGUGUGAUUGUUUGCAGGUACCAUACGAAUAAGGACCGGCUAAUUCCGUGCCAGCAGCCGCGGUAAUACGGAAGGUCCGGGCGUUAUCCGGAUUUAUUGGGUUUAAAGGGAGCGUAGGCUGGAGAUUAAGUGUGUUGUGAAAUGUAGACGCUCAACGUCUGACUUGCAGCGCAUACUGGUUUCCUUGAGUACGCACAACGUUGGCGGAAUUCGUCGUGUAGCGGUGAAAUGCUUAGAUAUGACGAAGAACUCCGAUUGCGAAGGCAGCUGACGGGAGCGCAACUGACGCUUAAGCUCGAAGGUGCGGGUAUCAAACAGGAUUAGAUACCCGGGUAGUC
Molecule: ribosomal RNA, 460 nt
Filed under: uncultured Prevotella sp.
Lineage: Bacteria; Pseudomonadati; Bacteroidota; Bacteroidia; Bacteroidales; Prevotellaceae
Description: bacterial SSU rRNA
Rfam family: Bacterial small subunit ribosomal RNA
Source: RNAcentral